GACGAACGCUGGCGGCGUGCUUAACACAUGCAAGUCGAACGGAAAGGCCCUGCUAUUGUGGGGUGCUCGAGUGGCGAACGGGUGCGUAACACGUGAGUAACCUGCCCUUGACUUUGGGAUAACUUCAGGAAACUGGGGCUAAUACCGGAUAGGAGCCGCUGCUGCAGGGAGGGGAUUGGAACGUUUCGGCGGGUGGGGAUGGACUCGCGGCUGAUCAGCUUGUUGGUUGGGUAGUGGCUUACCAAGGCUUUGACGGGUAGGCGGCAUGGGAGGGUGGCCGGCGACAUUAGGCCUGCGAUACGGCGCAGACUCGAACGUGAGGCAGCAGUGGGGAGUCUUGCACAGUGGGCGGACGCCUGAUGAAGCAACGCCGCGGGUGGGAUGACGGCCUUCGGGUUGUAAACCGCUUUCGCUUGUGACGAAGCGUGAGUGACGGUAAUGGGUGAAGAAGCACCGGCUAACUACGUG
Molecule: ribosomal RNA, 468 nt
Filed under: uncultured bacterium
Lineage: Bacteria
Description: partial 16S ribosomal RNA
Rfam family: Bacterial small subunit ribosomal RNA
Source: RNAcentral